CCGUCCGAUCCUGUAGUUGCCACUCGGAAAUAUCAGCCGUGCGCUAAUUGGUUCGUCGCUCGCGAAAUCAACGCCGCCCUCCGCCGACUCCUCUCCGUCCGCCGCCCUCCCCAUCCUCUCUGCAGAGCGUGAUCCGCGGCCCCCCUCCUCCGUCGCGCGCGAUCCAUGCGUACGGGAGCCUCUCCGACUACCCCAAGCCGCGGGCCCCCUCCUCCGCCGCGAGCGGAGGCCCCGCUACGAGCCGCGCCGUCCUCCACACCGGCCGUAAUCUCCGUGGUCCCCGCACGCACGCAUGCUCCUCUGCUUUCUCGGUUUCUCCUCCGGGCACACAGCUCCAUCGCAUGGCCGCCACCUCCACGUCGUCGUCCUCACCACGUUCGGAUCGCGCGGCCGCCGCCGCCGUCCUCGCCGUGCCUAGAUCACCACUGCGCCGCCUCGGGUCAACAACGCCAUCCCCGCCGCGGCCUUCCUCGGGUCGACAUCAAGCGCCGCCCCGCGCGCCCGGAUCUGGUGACCCCCAUCAAGGGAGCGGCGGCAUCGCGAACCGCAUCAGGGGAGCGGCGGCAUCCCGAACUUGCUAGAGGUAGCCAUCUCCAUCCACGCUUGCGGAAGACGACGGCCUCCUCCUCCUGCUGCCUCAAAUCGAAGCUUCGCCGGGCCACCGUUAUUCAUGGGACACAUUCACCACACAUCCGCACGCCAUUAGUAGCCUGGUGAGGGCCCCAGGUUUUCCUCUGCCUUUCCCCUAGACUUCUGAUUCUGAUUAGGAAUCUACUCGCAAUAGGGGUUUGAUUAUAUUUGUACCUUAGGAUGUUGUGUUUUUCUUGUCAGAUAGGUGUUUGAUAAAAUGACCAUGUACAUUCAUACUCGCUGCUGCCGUAUCCUCACUGUGCCUACUAAAUUCACUUUCUCAUUGCUUAUAUAAACCUGAUUUGUACUGGCUGCUGCAGUCCCUAAUUUUUAACAGAAUAUGAGGCAUCGAGGUGUUGCGCCACUACGUGGAGUGCGGCUGCACUCUGACGAGUUUCGUGAAUCAGAUUUAAGGAAGGAGAGAGGAUACAUGAUGGAGGGUGGCAGAUUGUCAGCGAGAAAAAGCACCAUGGAAGACUGCAGAAGUUUUAUUUCAGUUUUCUAAUUAAAGAUCUAAAAACAAUAGACUGAUAAUUAAUGUGGUAUGUUAAAAAUGGCAUUCGCUGAGUUUCCCCUUAAUACUCUGAUUCAGUUGAAGGGAGUGACAUAAGUUUUUGACAUGGUAUGCCAAUCCAUUUUUGCAUGUAGGCACCACAUCUCUACUACUACUACAAUACAUAAUUUUGCUGCUGGAUACCACCUCACUGUUUAAUUAUUGUUAUAUUUCGUAUCCUCAAUACUGGAUUAUUGAAACCAGAGGGAAGCAUCCUUUCAGUUGAGGGAUAGACAUGCUACGAUGUAGUUAGAGAUGUCGGUAUUACAACCUAUUUGUCAGGUUUGACCACAGCAAAUAUGGAGAGCGGAAAUCAGUAAUUCACUUGAUCAAAGCCUUGGAAUUUGGAAGAGUCAGGUUCAGUUUUGU
Panicum virgatum (switchgrass) is the source of this 1552-nucleotide long non-coding RNA. RefSeq lists it as uncharacterized. The record is from RefSeq and is a predicted model, not a curated record. Lineage: Eukaryota; Viridiplantae; Streptophyta; Magnoliopsida; Poales; Poaceae. The transcript has 3 exons.